RNAcentral lists this ribosomal RNA (468 nucleotides) under uncultured bacterium. RNAcentral describes it as "partial 16S ribosomal RNA". It matches the Rfam family "Bacterial small subunit ribosomal RNA", at positions 28 to 507 of the family's 1533-position model. The record is from RNAcentral.
GACGAACGCUGGCGGCGUGCUUAACACAUGCAAGUCGAACGGAAAGGCCCUGCUUUUGUGGGGUGCUCGAGUGGCGAACGGGUGAGUAACACGUGAGUAACCUGCCCUUGACGUUGGGAUAACUUCAGGAAACUGGGGCUAAUACCGGAUAGGAGCUCCUGCUGCAUGGUGGGGGUGGGAAAGUUUCGGCGGUUGGGGAUGGACUCGCGGCUUAUCAGCUUGUGGGUGGGGUAGUGGCUUACCAAGGCUUUGACGGGUAGCCGGCCUGAGAGGGUGACCGGCCACAUUGGGACUGAGAUACGGCCCAGACUCCUACGGGAGGCAGCAGUGGGGAAUAUUGCACAAUGGGCGGAAGCCUGAUGCAGCAACGCCGCGUGCGGGAUGACGGCCUUCGGGUUGUAAACCGCUUUCGCCUGUGACGAAGCGUGAGUGACGGUAAUGGGUAAAGAAGCACCGGCUAACUACGUG